GCUGGGCACAGUGGCACGUGUCUGUAGUCCCAGCUACUUGGGAGACUGAGGUGGGAGGAUCGCUUGAGCCCAGGAGUUCUGGGCUGUAGGGCGCUAUGCCCGUCAGGUGUCUGCACUAAGUUCGGCAUCAAUAUGGUGACCUCCCGGGAGCAGGGGACCAUCAGGUUGCCUAAGGAAGGGUGAACUGGCCCAGGUCGGAAACGGAGCAGGUCAAAAUUCACGUGCUGAUCAGUAGUGGGAUCGCGCCUGUGAAUAGCCACUGCACUCCAGCCUGGGCAACAUAGUGAGACCCCGUCUCU
Unclassified non-coding RNA from Aotus nancymaae (Ma's night monkey), 299 nucleotides. It matches the Rfam family "Metazoan signal recognition particle RNA". Rfam says of the family: The signal recognition particle (SRP) is a universally conserved ribonucleoprotein. It is involved in the co-translational targeting of proteins to membranes. NCBI's taxonomy places the organism in Eukaryota, Metazoa, Chordata, Mammalia, Primates, Aotidae. The record is from Ensembl.